RNAcentral lists this ribosomal RNA (486 nucleotides) under uncultured bacterium. Its description in RNAcentral is "bacterial SSU rRNA". It matches the Rfam family "Bacterial small subunit ribosomal RNA", at positions 28 to 507 of the family's 1533-position model. The record is from RNAcentral.
GAUGAACGCUAGCGGCAGGCUUAACACAUGCAAGUCGAGGGGUAACAGGGAUUGCUUGCAAUCCGCUGACGACCGGCGCACGGGUGCGUAACGCGUAUGCAACCUACCUUCUACAGGGGGAUAGUCAAUAGAAAUGUUGAAUAAUACCCCAUACGAUCUUUGAAUAGCAUUAUUUAAAGAAGAAAGUUCCGGCGGUAGAAGAUGGGCAUGCGUCCUAUUAGUUAGUUGGAGAGGUAACGGCUCCCCAAGACAUCGAUAGGUAGGGGUCCUGAGAGGGAGACCCCCCACACUGGUACUGAGACACGGACCAGACUCCUACGGGAGGCAGCAGUGAGGAAUAUUGGACAAUGGAGGCAACUCUGAUCCAGCCAUGCCGCGUGCAGGAAGACUGCCCUAUGGGUUGUAAACUGCUUUUAUACAGGAAGAAAUGUAUCUACGUGUAGGUAUUUGACGGUACUGUACGAAUAAGGAUCGGCUAACUCCGUG